Molecule: non-coding RNA, 5986 nt
Organism: Pelodiscus sinensis (Chinese soft-shelled turtle)
Lineage: Eukaryota; Metazoa; Chordata; Testudines; Trionychidae
Source: RefSeq, a predicted model, not a curated record
UUCAAAAUGCUUGUCCUGAAAAAGGAUUAAAAUGAAUUGCCCUUGUAGUAGAAAUCCUUAUUCGUCAACAUAACAAACAACAUAAGAAGGCUAAGUUGCUUGACAAGUGAACCUCAGUUCUGACUUGGGCUUCCAUAGGUAGGUCUAUCUCCUUGCCAUUCAAUCUGCUGCUUCCCCCUGCCCUACACACACUGCUGCCUCUGACACACAGGCAGCAUCUGCAGGGGAGGCGGGAGUAACCAUGAAGAUUAACCAAUAAACCCAAGAUCACCAGUUAGUGUACAUGUUUAAACAGCUAUCACAUCCUUAACUACCAUUUAAUUUGCUUUGUGUGUCAAAACAUGCAAGAAACCAUUAUUAAAAUAUUUUAUACUAUUUGUUCUAGUGGAAAGUCAAAGACAGGAACUCUACUCUCUCACGAAAUUUACCUAACAGUUAACUAAAAUAGGAAGACAGACUCAUGGAAUAAACUUCGCACCAAAAAUACACUCCUAUUUAAUACACUAACAUUAAAAAAAAUCCAAACAGCUUAAAUGCAAGGUUAAAGGAUUCUCUUUCUCGGGUUAAUUUUUGUAGUGCUUCAUAAAAGAGUACAUUUUCAUUCCCUAAAAGGGCAUGUCCUUAGUAAAAGCUCCUAGUCAAAGCAAAAAAUAUUCCAGUUAUUGUACUAGUUAUCUAAACUAAAACAUUGCCAUUGUAUCCAUCACGUCCUUGGCAUAAAACACAAUUACACUAUCCAUUAUUGCCAGUAUAAAAGCAAGUUAGCUUAAAAAACAUGUGGUGAACCCACAAGUCUGAAAAAAUCAUACGUUAGUUGAUAUUGCAUAACUCAAAAUAAACUUCUGAACAUCUAAUUUUCUCAGUCUGUAAAAUGGCUAUGACCUUCCAGGGCAAAGCUUAAUCAUGGAGUAUCUGAAAUACUCUAUGAUCCAUUAAUUGUGGGAAGUAUAGAAAUGCAAAGGAUUAUUAUUAGGAUAAGAAUUGUGAAUGAAUACACAGAUUAUAGUUGUUUUAACUAAGGAGUAUUUCCAGAGUUUUGUUAAAAAGAGGGAGAUACCAAAAAAGUAAUCAAGAGGGUCUUUCUUUUAUGCAAAGAACAUUUCUGGCUGUAAUUCUCAAGUUGAUAAAUCUUUUUUUUCCAUAUUUUAAUAAUUAAUGUUGUUAUUUAAACUUUGUAUGUAUGUUAGGAAAAAGAUUAAUGCUUCAGCUGUCGGUUGGAAUUCUUUUCAAAACUCUCAAACCAUUCUUCUCCCUAGCUCAAAGGGCUUGGAAUUCAUGGAAUUUACUACUUUAUAUUCCAAUAAACACUAACUACCCCAUCCUAACAAGCUUAGCAUCAGAACCCCUAUUUUAUAUGCAAAUAAACAAAUAUCCCUCUUUUCUUCACUCCCAUUCCCUCCACAUCCUGUGUACUACAAAAAUAAGUUUUUUAUAGUAAUGUAUUUGACUACUAGUGCAGAACUCCAUAUGAUCACAGCCCAAGAGAAUCACACUUCAUCUUCCCACAAAAAGCAUUAAAAUCCCCACCAACAUUAUGGCUCAAUCCUGCUACAAGACUCCUACACACUUUUUUAAAGCAAUAUCAGAGCAAAUCUUGCAGGUAAAAACCAUGAAAGAACUCAUUGCUUAUCCCAUACACAACACUCCCUCAAAGUUAUGUACUUAAUCCCACAAAGUGAGGUCCAAGACUGCAGUAAACACAUUGCAAACCUCCACAAGUAAGCUUUCUCUCUUUUUACUACUGUUUGUUGAAUCUUUGAAACUGACUAUUUCAUAUACCUAAAUCAGCACUGUACACAUAUGCAAGAUGCUUUCUAGCUACUCUUUUUCAGAUGGCAGUUUUCCUUUGGACUCUUCCUCUUUGGAAUCCUUAGAUAUGCUCCAAUAUUAGAGCAGAACCAUCUACCCAUUUUCUUGGGGAACAUGUUAAACAAUUUCUGACCCCUCCUGACAGUUGUAACGAGAGACUUGACUUCUACAUUGAUUGCUUCCAUUAACAUGUGCAGGCUGAUAUUGUCAGCAAACAACAUAUAACCUCAGUCAUGCAGAACUCAAUACUAUACACAGCCUUAAAAACAAUUCUAACAGCAUAGUCGAAGAGGCUGACAAAGGAGGUACUGUAGUCAUCAUGAACAGAAGGCUUGCAGACAACUCACUAAUACCAGAUUCUAUAGGCUCCUCUCCGCUGAUCCCUCAUACCGAAAAAAACCCUAAACCAUCUGCUUAUGAAACUUCCUGCUACAACUCAGGACCAAAGCUAUACAAACACACCUCCAAAUCCUCAAUCAGGAGUUUUCUAUCUACUGCCCAAGAUACACAAACCUAGAAAACCCGGACAACCCAUCAUCUCAAGCACUGGCACACUUACAGCAGGAUUAUCUGGUUAUAUUGACUCUCUCCUCAGACCCUAUGCUACCAGCAGUCUUAGCAAUCUUCAAACACACCACCGACCUCCCAAGGAAACUACAGAACAUUGGUGUUUUCAGGAAGAUUACUGUUCUGGUCACCAUGAAAGUAGAAGCUCUUUACACCAACAUUCUACAUGAAGACAGAUUACUGGCCAUGAGAAAUACUAUCCCUGAUGACUCCACUGUACACUUUAUUACAGAGCUCUGUGACUUCUUCCACUGGCUGCUGGCCCCACCCCUGGGUAUUAUACAGCAGUUGAGUAACUGAUAAGAAUUAAUGCGGUUACUCGACUAUUCAAUUAUUAAAAAAAUUAGGGAUGUUAGAUAUUGGCUAUCAUACCGGGUAAAUUUGCAACUUUAUGCAUUAAGCUGCUACACACAUUUUACCUUGAUACUACUGAUCACCAAGUUACAAGUUUUCAAAUGGUACCUCACAUGGCAUACCUUGUACAAAGAUAAUUACAACAGCAUACAAUAUAUAGAUGUGAACUUAAGGUGUAUUCCAUUACAACAUACAUCUGACUCCAGAAGAAAAAAGGGUAUGAAAUAAAGAUUAUUAAGCCUGUUUUUCCUCCCUUGCCAUCCUGGAGUCAAGUUGCUGACGGUUCCAGAAUCUAAAUGCCACAGAAACUACUACCAACUUUCUAAAUCUAUGCCACCCUAGAGGGAAGCAACAAGUGAUUCUUGGUUGGAAAAAAAAUUCUCUGAAAAUGAAGAAAAGAUACCUAAUGCAUGCUAAAGACCAAAAAAUGGAAGGAACUGCAGCAGCUGAUGACUGCAAUGAGCACUUAUACAUUUGGCUCAAAACAUUUGAUGCUGAGGAGAGCAGGUCACUCAAGUGGUCCCAACAGGCACUGUUUUUCUUGAAGAUGCCUGAAGCUCAAAAGCACUAAAGAGCUAGAAAGUAGAAAUAUGCAGAAGCUACAUCAAAGACUUUUUUAAAGCAUAAAAGAUAUUAGGCCAUAUAAAUAAACAACAAAUCAAAGUGGAACUUUUGAAUAGACCAUCAUGCAUUUCAAGUUGUCCACAAAGUUUCAGAGAUUUUAAAGGAACAACACUAUUUCCCCUCCCAUUUCAAAGGGUAUGUCUACACUACAAAUGUUACAUACAGCAGCACAGCUGCGGUGCUGUAGCUAUGCUACUUAGUUUAGAUGUUGCCACAAUGAUGGAAGUAUUUCCCCUCACAUCACUGUGAUGUAUGCAUGCGUACGUGUACACACACACACACACACACACACACACACACACACGACAACUCUUUCAGAGACCUGCAAGCAUCUUCACUAGGAUUGGGUCCACUUAAUUUAAUCUCUCAGGGUUUCACUCACCUGCCCCGGCACAGGCAGGAGCACCCAGCCCUGCCCUCCUGCCGCCGCCUUCCAGCCAGCGCGGCCGCGACUCAGGAGCCCCUGCGAACAACUCACAUGAAAGCGCGAGGCCUCCAGAGUGCGCGCGCGCGGACGCCCUACAGCUGAGUAUCAGCCGGGGCCUGAUGAAGUGUCGCCCCGCCCCUUCUCGCUCUGUGGGUUGGGCUCGACUUCCCUCCCGCUGCUGCUGACAGCGCAUGUUGGCGACGCGGAGGGUGGCUCAGGCCCCUGGAGCGCAAGGCGAAGUGGAGGAAGGGAAGCGGCUGUGGAGGGGCCCAGGCAAGGUGGCUUGCACCGUGGCCAGGCUGAGGCGUGUGGCAAGGCAGGAGUGUGGGGGAAACGGCAGAGUUAUUACAGCUCCUAGUGACUCCAAUAUGUGAAGAGAGGAUAUUCAUCCCACCUACAGAAAAAUUCUGCAUAUAAGCUAAUACAAUGAAGGGGGAGGUAACGGCAAAUAAUGGACUGAGUGACAUCAGACUGAAAAUGCAGAUACCAGACAGGAACGGAUGUACAGCUUGGCUAACAAACCCAGAGCCUGCAACGAGAAGUUGUUAGUAGUACUUUGCUAUAUCAUGGUAUUUAACAUUUACAAAAUUCACUGCAAAAUACACCAUUAAUGAAACAUCAUUGUUGAGAAUUUACAGUAUUUGCAAAGGACAGAGGAAAUUCAAACAGACUGCUACACCUUUUGGAUCUGACGAAGUGGGUCUUUGCCCACGAAAGCUUAUGCUCCAAUAAAUCUGUUAGUCUAUAAGGUGCCAUAGGACUCCUCAUCAUUUUUACACCUUCACCUGUUACAGAAUGCUCAGCAGGUCAGGUUGCUAUGUGCAACUCAUUGUGCUGCUACAAUCACUCGGCUGGCUUGUCAUUUUGACAGCUCAAUUUAAGGUCUCCAUCCUCACAUUCAAACUCUCAGUGGAAUUAGCUCAAACAACUUAAGAGAUUGCCUCUCCCUGAGUGUUUGAGCUGCUGUCCACCAGAAAUCUGAGACCAUCAGUGCAUAACUCCAAGAGCUUAUCAAAUAGCUGGUAGCAUCUAAAUUUCAAAUCUGGAACUCAAAUAGAGGGUAGUGAAGGAAAAGGAAUUGAGCAUGCUAGCUGUAAUCAGUGGUUAGUGGCAAUGUGAUAUCAACUGCACAUUUUUAAAAAAAAAAUUUUAUUUUUAAAAUAUAAGUUUGGAAAUAGGAUGAGCGGGCAAAGAGAUGAUGUAACAGAAGUCUAGGAAUAGGAGGACAAAGAAGGAAGGUAAAAAAAUACUGAAAAUGGAAGGAAUGAAAGGGAGAGAAAUACAGGAAGGAUGGAUGGGUGCACUGAUGUGUGUUUUCCAGGUAUAAAAGGAAUCAUUGGAGGGUAGUUCCUGGCAGAAUAUCAGUAUCACUCAGUCAACUGAAGCAGCAAUCCAUGGUUAAUGGAUUCACAGGCUACUGAGAGGUCCAACAUGAGAAUAAAUGCCAGUUAACCUCAGAUUAACCAAAGAUCAUUCAUAACUAUGACAAGUGUCAUCUCAAUAGAAUGCUGGAAUUCAGAAUGGAAUCUGCCAGGGCGAUGGUAGCCACAUGCAUGUGGAAUUGUCAAACUCUGUCUUCUCAACCACCUCCCCAAAGGUGGUGAAGCGUAAGAUCAUGCAGGAUUGAACAGCAAGUCCUCCAGCAUAAAAAGAAAGCAUCUAGAAGAAGAAUUAGACUUCAGUGUGUUUAAGAAUUGUCAGCACUCACUUCAUUGUACAAUGAAGUAUUAGCAAUGCCUCUCAAUAUUGACACAAGAGCUACCACAUGUGCUCUGAGACUUUGGUAUACAUUGGGAUCAGGACCACAAGUGGUGGACCUCAAGAAACUGAGAAGAUAUUAAGAUGCAACUGAAGAAUCAUUUACUGCUGGUGAUGAAGCACAAAAACCAGAAACCAAGUUUGUUUUCAGAAAAAAUAAUAUAUGUUUACUUAUACUAGGGGACUUAACUUCCUGCUCACUACGCUCACCAACCCCCCUCUCUCUGGCCAUUUUUGCUUCUUUGAGAGAGCCUGUUGAUGCUGUUGACAUGAUGAUGUCAUUUUGUUGCCCAGCAGGAAAAUUCUGUCGUCCGUCAGAAAAAACUUUUUAUAUAGAGAGAGGUGGUGCCAGAGCCUUUUACCUGCUGCAAAGAGGGGUAGGAGUGAGGAAACCGCCAGCAUGGCAAGCAGGGAGCUUGGUGCGUCCCGCUGCUGUGCUCACCCCCA